ACCACCCCUUAAGAUAAGAACUGAGAACUUAUCUCAGCCGUCAAUCAAACCAAUCCAACGGCCGAAGAUCUACCCGAAAAAACGAAAAUAGUAAGGGUAGAUUAGUAAUUUACCCGGGUUGAAUGACCUUCCCCAACUCCCCCAAUUUUCAGAAUUUCUUUCUCUCUCUUCCCCCCUCCUCUCAUGUAAACGCGCUCUCUCUCUCCCUCCUCCUCCUUUCUCAUAUUCUCUUCUUCUAAUUUCAACGAUAUUUGUUCUACCUUUGAUUCUGGGUUUUAUUUUUCAAUUUCUUUUGUUGCUCAGGUGAUUGUUCUUGUAAUUUUUUUUUUCGAACAUGUUAAAUUAGGUUUUCUUGUUUGUUGAUUAUGUAUUUACUUUUUCUGAUCUUAUGUUUACUUUUUGUGGAUGUUGUGUUUACUUUUGAUGAUAUUGUGUUUACUUUUGCUGAUAAUGUCUUUAUAUUUUCGAUUGCUCUAAUUCAUUCACCUUCUUUGCGAUUAUCCUCUUUCAAUUCGCCAGUGAAGAAGAAGAUGAGACUAGUCUCUAUUUUGGUGAUGGAAUGAGUUAGACCCUCCAUCGCGUCCUGCUGAUUCAAGACUUCCUUUUGAGUAUUGCUAUGAUAUGAGACCUGAUGCAAAUACAAAUUUAGUACCCACUGUGAUUCUUUCUUUGAAAGGAGUUGGCUAGUUUAGGGUUUAUGAUCCCAUCAUUGUCAUUUCAACCCAGAUUGAACUGGUAUAUUGUCUUGCUCUGGUCACGGAUUACCGUCACGGAUUACUCUGUAUUUGAGUGACUACCUUGAUUUCAGAUCCAAUUAUCUCAUACACUCCGUAUUGCUUAAAUUUGAGCCGGAUAGAGAACCCAUACUAGAUCAUCAAAUACGGUAUGUUGUGGAUCACAGUAUUGUUCAAAUUCUCCUCUGAUGCUACUGUUAAAGGUUUGACAGGCUUGAGGGUUAUUGAUCAGUAGAUCAGUCUAGUAAUAAGUGCAAGAUUCUGUUUCGUUGGGUGCUAGCAGACAGAUUCAGGCCUUUAAGGAGGAAGUGAAAUUUAGCUCAAGCUUGCAGGCAGAAACAAAUAAAACAGAAGCUUUAUGGUGUUUGUUUUGCUGAAACCAUAUAUGCCUUAUUGACUUUGCAAAAGAGUAGAAUUUUUCAGGCUCGCAAGGAGAACCAACAAACUGUUGUCAGGAGCAUUUUGUUUAAUGUGGCGUGCAGAUGCUCCGAAAAAAUGAGAAGGUUUCUUAUCGUUUGAACACUAAUGUUUUUUUCCCCGUAAGCUCUUGUGUUUUGUUUUGUUGUUUUGGUGAAGCAAUGUUUCAGUUGGGGUUUUGCUUCUAAGAUUUUUAGAUUUUUUUGAGUUAUUAUGAUUUACUUUUGAGAUACUUUGAUUUACUUUUGAGUUUCUUUUGUUUACUUUUGAGUUUUUCUAAAAUGUACUUAUAGGGACAGUAGGAGAGUAACUAGUAGUAAGAAAACUGAGUAAGCUCUGGAGUCUGUGCAAAGUCUAUGGUUUGAUUUACUUGUCUCGGUUACACUAUGUUGUUGCAAGACAUUUUUGUACUUGAAGAUAAAAUUGAAGGAUUAAAUACAAAUAGGGUGAAGAAAA
This is a long non-coding RNA of Spinacia oleracea (spinach), 1607 nucleotides long. RefSeq lists it as uncharacterized. The transcript has 6 exons. The record is from RefSeq and is a predicted model, not a curated record. Lineage: Eukaryota; Viridiplantae; Streptophyta; Magnoliopsida; Caryophyllales; Amaranthaceae.